GACGAACGCUGGCGGCGUGCCUAAUACAUGCAAGUAGAACGCUGACUACUUUAGCUUGCUAGAGUAGAAGGAGUUGCGAACGGGUGAGUAACGCGUAGGUAUCCUGCCUACUAGCGGGGGAUAACUAUUGGAAACGAUAGCUAAUACCGCAUAACAGUGUUUAACACAUGUUAGAUGCUUGAAAGAUGCAAUUGCAUCACUAGUAGAUGGACCUGCGUUGUAUUAGCUAGUGGGUGGGGUAACGGCCCACCAAGGCGACGAUACAUAGCCGACCUGAGAGGGUGAUCGGCCACACUGGGACUGAGACACGGCCCAGACUCCUACGGGAGGCAGCAGUAGGGAAUCUUCGGCAAUGGGGGCAACCCUGACCGAGCAACGCCGCGUGAGUGAAGAAGGUUUUCGGAUCGUAAAGCUCUGUUGUAAGAGAAGAACGUGUGUGAGAGUGGAAAGUUCACACAGUGACGGUAACUUACCAGAAAGGGACGGCUAACUACGUGCCAGCAGCCGCAGUAA
This 513-nucleotide ribosomal RNA is filed under the name uncultured bacterium. Its description in RNAcentral is "partial 16S ribosomal RNA". It matches the Rfam family "Bacterial small subunit ribosomal RNA", at positions 28 to 523 of the family's 1533-position model. The record is from RNAcentral.